RNAcentral lists this ribosomal RNA (632 nucleotides) under uncultured bacterium. Its description in RNAcentral is "bacterial SSU rRNA". The stretch from base 1 to 542 matches the Rfam family "Bacterial small subunit ribosomal RNA", at positions 338 to 873 of the family's 1533-position model. The record is from RNAcentral.
CCUACGGGAGGCAGCAGUGGGGAAUUUUGGACAAUGGGCGAAAGCCUGAUCCAGCAAUGCCGCGUGAGUGAAGAAGGCCUUCGGGUUGUAAAGCUCUUUUGUCAGGGAAGAAACGGUGAGAGCUAAUAUCUUUUGCUAAUGACGGUACCUGAAGAAUAAGCACCGGCUAACUACGUGCCAGCAGCCGCGGUAAUACGUAGGGUGCAAGCGUUAAUCGGAAUUACUGGGCGUAAAGCGUGCGCAGGCGGUUUUGUAAGUCUGAUGUGAAAUCCCCGGGCUCAACCUGGGAAUUGCAUUGGAGACUGCAAGGCUAGAAUCUGGCAGAGGGGGGUAGAAUUCCACGUGUAGCAGUGAAAUGCGUAGAUAUGUGGAGGAACACCGAUGGCGAAGGCAGCCCCCUGGGUCAAGAUUGACGCUCAUGCACGAAAGCGUGGGGAGCAAACAGGAUUAGAUACCCUGGUAGUCCACGCCCUAAACGAUGUCUACUAGUUGUCGGGUCUUAAUUGACUUGGUAACGCAGCUAACGCGUGAAGUAGACCGCCGCGGGAGGUACGGUCGCGAGAAGUAAACGUACGUAAUAGAAGUUAGUACGGACGUGAGACGUUGCCGACGGACGACGACGAGGGAGGAGG